Molecule: ribosomal RNA, 468 nt
Filed under: uncultured bacterium
Lineage: Bacteria
Description: partial 16S ribosomal RNA
Rfam family: Bacterial small subunit ribosomal RNA
Source: RNAcentral
GACGAACGCUGGCGGCGUGCUUAACACAUGCAAGUCGAACGGAAAGGCCCUGCUUUUGUGGGGUGCUCGAGUGGCGAACGGGUGAGUAACACGUGAGUAACCUGCCCUUGACUUUGGGAUAACUUCAGGAAACUGCGGCUAAUACCGGAUAGGAUCUCCUGCUCCAUGGGGGGGGUUGGAAAGUUUCGGCGGUUGGGGAUGGACUAGCGGCUUAUCAGCUUGUUGGUGGGGUAGUGGCUUACCAAGCCUUUGACGGGUAGCCGGCCUGGGAGGGUGGCCGGCCACAUGGGGCCUGCGAGACGGACCAGACGCCUACGGGAGGCAGCAGGGGGGAACAUUGCGCAAUGGGCGGAAGCCUGAUGCAGAAACGCCGCGUGCGGGAUGACCGGCUUCGGGGUGUAAACCGCUUUCGACGGUGACGAAGCGGGAGUGACGGUAAUGGGUAAAGAAGCACCGGCUAACUACGUG